UACUAGCGGUCCAAGUGGCAGCCAUGUUUAUUGGGUCUAAAACAUCCGUAGCUUGCUUGGUAAGUCUCUUGUGAAAUCCGGCAUCUCAAGUGUCGGGCGUGCAAGAGAUACUGCCUUGCUAGAGACCGGGAGACGUAAGGAGUACGGUUAGGGUAGCGGUAAAAUGCGUUGAUCCUUUCUGGACUAACGAUAGCGAAGGCACCUUACGAGAACGGAUCUGACAGUGAGGGAUGAAGGCUAGGGGCGCAAAACGGAUUAGAUACCCCAGUA
This 270-nucleotide ribosomal RNA is filed under the name uncultured prokaryote. RNAcentral's name for it is "partial 16S ribosomal RNA". It matches the Rfam family "Archaeal small subunit ribosomal RNA", at positions 474 to 743 of the family's 1478-position model. The record is from RNAcentral.